This 222-nucleotide long non-coding RNA is filed under the name Elaeis guineensis (African oil palm). RNAcentral describes it as "long non-coding RNA (EGUI_LNC018143)". The record is from RNAcentral. Lineage: Eukaryota; Viridiplantae; Streptophyta; Magnoliopsida; Arecales; Arecaceae.
AGGUCCAUACAGGAAUUGCAGAAAUCACUUAGGGGGUAGACUUUUAUCUUAGAAUAUCAUGCAGCAAGGAGGAAACAAGGGGGUCGGGAUGUGCAAGGAUGAGAUGGAGAUGUUGGGAUGACAUGAGGAGAAGACAAGGAGGUUCGGACGACGAGAGGAGAUAGUAGGGAGGACGGAUAAUGCAAGGGCCAAAGAAGAGGUGGGAAUGCAAGGAAGGAGAUA